GCCGAAGUGGCGGAAUUGGCAGACGCAGCGGAUUCAAAAUCCGCCGCCUUUACGGGUGUCCCGGUUCNAGUCCGGGCUUCGGCACCA
RNAcentral lists this transfer RNA (87 nucleotides) under Polyangiaceae bacterium. Its description in RNAcentral is "tRNA-Leu". It matches the Rfam family "tRNA". From Rfam's summary of the family: Transfer RNA (tRNA) molecules are approximately 80 nucleotides in length. Their secondary structure includes four short double-helical elements and three loops (D, anti-codon, and T loops). Further hydrogen bonds mediate the characteristic L-shaped molecular structure. tRNAs have two regions of fundamental functional importance: the anti-codon, which is responsible for specific mRNA codon recognition, and the 3' end, to which the tRNAs corresponding amino acid is attached (by aminoacyl-tRNA synthetases). tRNAs cope with the degeneracy of the genetic code in two manners: having more than one tRNA (with a specific anti-codon) for a particular amino acid; and 'wobble' base-pairing, i.e. permitting non-standard base-pairing at the 3rd anti-codon position. The record is from RNAcentral. Lineage: Bacteria; Pseudomonadati; Myxococcota; Polyangiales; Polyangiaceae.